Poecilia latipinna (sailfin molly) is the source of this 573-nucleotide long non-coding RNA. RefSeq lists it as uncharacterized. The record is from RefSeq and is a predicted model, not a curated record. The transcript has 2 exons. Lineage: Eukaryota; Metazoa; Chordata; Actinopteri; Cyprinodontiformes; Poeciliidae.
UUUCACCUAAAAACAAGUGAAACUCCAGUUGUUGCAUCUAUAUUAUCAUGUUGUUUGUCUAUUCAGAGUAACGUUGAAUUAAAAUGGGAAACGACUCGUCCUGCUCACCUGCACAGACGACUACAGGGAGACCUUAAAAGUGGAGCUCAAACUGAAACGGUGAAGUGGAAGAACAGAGUGACGGUGUGAAGAGGCUACUGUUGCUGCUCUGCUGCUACUCUAGCACAACACCACUUCAGGGCUUCCUGUCGUACUGUGACAGCAAAAACUGCACCCUGUCAACAACUUCUCCUUUUUUCCCCCAACUUCCAAAUGGACGUAAAGGCAUGUAAACUUCAUUCAGCCGGAAACUUUGAGGGCAAGAAAAGUUGCACAAAGAAAAGCAGCGUGCAAAAGUUUGGGUUUUACUUGCGGCCAACACAUUAAAAAUUGCUAAAUGUCAGUUUUUUAAUUCUGAAUGUACUUUGAAUAACUAGAUGGAUCACUGCAUCGUUAAAUGUUUGUGUAGUCGUACUACUUCAGCUUUUUCACAUUGUCGUAUUAAACUUUAAAUAUAUUUUUUAUUAAAACAUG